AGAUGCGAUCAUACCAGCACUAAAGCACCGGAUUCCAUCAGAACUCCGAAGUUAAGUGUGCUUGGGCGAGAGUAGUACUAGGAUGGGUGACCUCCUGGGAAGUCCUCGUGUUGCAUUCC
Molecule: ribosomal RNA, 119 nt
Filed under: Triticum aestivum (bread wheat)
Lineage: Eukaryota; Viridiplantae; Streptophyta; Magnoliopsida; Poales; Poaceae
Source: RNAcentral